RNAcentral lists this ribosomal RNA (619 nucleotides) under Papilio rutulus (western tiger swallowtail). RNAcentral's name for it is "eukaryotic LSU rRNA". It matches the Rfam family "Eukaryotic large subunit ribosomal RNA", at positions 577 to 915 of the family's 3401-position model. Lineage: Eukaryota; Metazoa; Arthropoda; Insecta; Lepidoptera; Papilionidae. The record is from RNAcentral.
UCGAAUGAACGAACGGAGAGAUUCAUCGUCAUUCCGCGGCGUACGCGUCCACGCUCUGAUGCACGGGCCGGCCGCGUCGACGUUCGCGGACGGCGUGCACUUCUCUCUUAGUAUGCAUCGCGACCCGUUCGCGGUCUAAGCGCCGUCCGGGAGCCCAUUCGUCGGACGGUAGAAGACGAAUCGCGCACGCGCAUCAGCGCGUCCGGCCCGACGCAAGAUACGUCGUCCUGCCGUUGUGCGGACAUCGGUGCGGCGCGUCUGUUGUCGCCGCCGCAGUCUCGGACCGUGCGCGUCUCAGUCGGCGAUGAUUCAGUUUCGGGCACUCGCAGGACCCGUCUUGAAACACGGACCAAGGAGUCUAGCAUGUGUGCGAGUCAUUGAGUUAAACUGAAAGGCGUAACGAAAGUGAAGGCGCGCGCCGCGCGCUCAGGGAGGAUGGAGGAUCGGCCUCUCGCACUCCCGAGGCGUCUCGUUUCCAAUCUGUGAAUGUAGGCGCGCUCUGAGCAGAGAUGCUGGGACCCGAAAGAUGGUGAACUAUGCCUGGUCAGGUCGAAGUCAGGGGAAACCCUGAUGGAGGACCGUAGCGAUUCUGACGUGCAAAUCGAUCGUCGGAACUGGG